RNAcentral lists this ribosomal RNA (253 nucleotides) under uncultured bacterium. RNAcentral's name for it is "partial 16S ribosomal RNA". It matches the Rfam family "Bacterial small subunit ribosomal RNA", at positions 524 to 776 of the family's 1533-position model. The record is from RNAcentral.
UACAGAGGGUGCAAGCGUUGUUCGGAAUUAUUGGGCGUAAAGCGCGUGUAGGCGGCCUUGCAAGUCGGGUGUGAAAGCCCUCAGCUCAACUGAGGAAGUGCGCCCGAAACUGCAGAGCUUGAGUACCGGAGAGGAUGGUGGAAUUCCCCAAGUAGAGGUGAAAUUCGUAGAUAUGGGGAGGAACACCGGUGGCGAAGGCGACCAUCUGGACGGAUACUGACGCUGAGGAACGAAAGCCAGGGUAGCGAACGGG